RNAcentral lists this long non-coding RNA (525 nucleotides) under Gallus gallus (chicken). Its description in RNAcentral is "lncRNA (ENSGALG00010026454.1)". The record is from RNAcentral. Lineage: Eukaryota; Metazoa; Chordata; Aves; Galliformes; Phasianidae.
CUCCAUUUCUGCUGAGUGGAUUUUAUGGGCUCCUUUUAACUCCCAGCACAGAUUUGACACUCUGGCCUUUUGCAAUAAUCCUCUCACUCAUGUUGUUUCUUCUGGAAACUUCUCCUGCCCAGUUUGUGCCAAAAAGCUCCGCAUUCCAUUUCUCCCAGACUUGAGUGGUAUUCUUUCUCUGAGCUCUCACUGCUUUCCUGGCCAUAAGCCCUCACCAGGACGAAGUGGCCCAGUGGGAUGCCCACUCCUGUUCCAGCACUGUACAUUAGGUUUUCUAUACCUUCCCCCAGAAUGCAGCUGGGAAGCCCCUGAGAUGUCCAACAGUUCUCCUCCAAUGAGGAAACUAAGGCAGAGAAGAGGCUGAACUAUUUGGUCUAUCUCACCCAAUGAUAUAAGAUAUACCUUGGAACAAACCUUUGCCCGUGUGUUGUUCACCAGCCCAUCUCCAAAGGUCAAGGAGUCAACUGUUUGCUAUAUGAGAAUGCACUGUAUAAAUAAAAGUGUGUGUGGCAGAAAUCAAAGACA